CCUACGGGAGGCUGCAGUGGGGAAUAUUGGACAAUGGGGGGAACCCUGAUCCAGCCAUGCCGCGUGUGUGAAGAAGGCCCUCGGGUUGUAAAGCACUUUCAGUGAGGAAGAACGCCUGGUGGUUAAUACCCAUCAGGAAAGACAUCACUCACAGAAGAAGCACCGGCUAACUCCGUACCAGCAGCCGCGGUAAUACGGAGGGUGCGAGCGUUAAUCGGAAUUACUGGGCGUAAAGCGCGCGUAGGUGGCUUGAUAAGCCGGUUGUGAAAGCCCCGGGCUCAACCUGGGAACGGCAUCCGGAACUGUCAAGCUAGAGUGCAGGAGAGGAAGGUAGAAUUCCCGGUGUAGCGGUGAAAUGCGUAGAGAUCGGGAGGAAUACCAGUGGCGAAGGCGGCCUUCUGGACUGACACUGACACUGAGGUGCGAAAGCGUGGGUAGCAAACAGGAUUAGAUACCCGUGUAGUC
RNAcentral lists this ribosomal RNA (465 nucleotides) under Vreelandella stevensii. RNAcentral describes it as "partial 16S ribosomal RNA". It matches the Rfam family "Bacterial small subunit ribosomal RNA", at positions 338 to 795 of the family's 1533-position model. Lineage: Bacteria; Pseudomonadati; Pseudomonadota; Gammaproteobacteria; Oceanospirillales; Halomonadaceae. The record is from RNAcentral.